AGCGUAGGCGGAACUACAAGACAGGGGUCAAAUCUCCGGGCUCAACCUGGAACUUGCCUUUGUGACUGUGGUUCUUGAGUAUGGUAGAGGUUGGCGGAAUUUCCGGUGUAGCGGUGGAAUGCGUAGAGAUCGGAAAGAACACCAGAGGCGAAGGCGGCCAACUGGACCAAUACUGACGCUGAGGCUCGAAAGCGUGGGGAGCAAACAGGAUUAGAUACCCUGGUAGUCCACGCUGUAAACGAUGAACACUAGAUGUCGGGAGGGGUUCCUUCCGGUGUCGUCGCUACGCAGUAAGUGUUCCGCCUGGGGAGUACGCUCGCAAGGGUGAA
This 329-nucleotide ribosomal RNA is filed under the name uncultured bacterium. RNAcentral's name for it is "bacterial SSU rRNA". It matches the Rfam family "Bacterial small subunit ribosomal RNA", at positions 568 to 898 of the family's 1533-position model. The record is from RNAcentral.